This 402-nucleotide ribosomal RNA is filed under the name Asterionella formosa. RNAcentral describes it as "partial large subunit ribosomal RNA". It matches the Rfam family "Bacterial large subunit ribosomal RNA", at positions 2084 to 2485 of the family's 2925-position model. The record is from RNAcentral. Lineage: Eukaryota; Bacillariophyta; Fragilariophyceae; Tabellariales; Tabellariaceae.
AAAGACCCUAUGAAGCUUUACUGUAACUUGAAAUUGAAAUUGGACUUUAUCUGCGCAGUAUAGGUGGGAGGCGUUGAAAAUAUUCUUGCGGGAAUACUGGAGCCAUCAGUGAGAUACCACUCCUAUAAUGUUAGAUUUCUAACUUUGUAUCAUUAUCUGGUCAAAGGACAGUUUCAGGCGGGCAGUUUGACUGGGGCGGUCGCCUCCUAAAUGGUAACGGAGGCGCACAAAGGUUUCCUCUGAACGGGUAGAAAUCGUAUCUAGAGUGUAAAGGCAAAAGGAAGCUUGACUGUGAGACUUACAAGUCGAGCAGGGACGAAAGUCGGUCUUAGUGAUCUGACGGUGCUGAGUGGAAAGGCCGUCACUCAACGGAUAAAAGUUACUCUAGGGAUAACAGGCUGA